Molecule: ribosomal RNA, 336 nt
Filed under: uncultured bacterium
Lineage: Bacteria
Description: bacterial SSU rRNA
Rfam family: Bacterial small subunit ribosomal RNA
Source: RNAcentral
GGAGGGUGCAAGCGUUAUUCGGAAUUACUGGGCGUAAAGCGCACGUAGGCGGCCUUGUAAGUCAGGGGUGAAAUCCCACGGCUCAACCGUGGAACUGCCUUUGAAACUGCAGGGCUUGAAUCCUGGAGAGGGUGGCGGAAUUCCUGGUGUAGGAGUGAAAUCCGUAGAUAUCAGGAGGAACACCGGUGGCGAAGGCGGCCACCUGGACAGGCAUUGACGCUGAGGUGCGAAAGUGUGGGGAGCAAACAGGAUUAGAUACCCUGGUAGUCCACACCGUAAACGAUGGAUACUAGGUGUCGGGGACUUGAUCUUCGGUGCCGUACGUAACGCGUUAAG